CUCAUCCCAUUCAUAUUUUAAAAAUACUAAUAUUUUGUGUUUGAGCAUUUUAAUAGGCUCAGAAACUUAAAAAUGAUGUUUCUUUUCUAACAACAUACUCUUUUCAAUGGGAUAUUAUGGUUGUUAUUAUUUAACAUGACAUUUAGGGACUCAACAUACAUUAAGGUGAUGGCACUAAGAUAAAUGUAGAAAUAACCAGUACCAUGUAAUUUUCAUAAGUGCUUAAAUUGUUGGUAAACAAUUUUAUGAGUUGGAGGUGUUGAAGCAAAUAUUAUUAAUAUUUGAACAUAAAAGCUGAUCAAAGGGGCCUGGUCCACAGAAGAUGUUUAUUUGAUGUAACAAAACAAUACAGUUAGUGUUAGAUCCAACCACAAAGAGCAAAAGGAAUGAAAAAUUUGUACAAUGUACAUAGAAAAAACAAGAUAUUUACUGUGACAACUAUAUAUUCCUAAAAUAAUGCUUCUAAAAUUACUCAAUUAUUGAAAUCUACAUGAAAAAAAGGAUGUUAAUAGCGACAAAGUGCAUAAAAUCAAACAUUGUAUUUUGAGCAAAUUAACAUACUAGGCAAUUUUGCUAAGAAUGCAUGAUUUUUUUUUUCUUGUUUACAGUCUGCUCAAAAUAUCUUUAUACCAACAGGGUAGGCAGAACAUUUAGGUUUAAUAUCAGUUACACAAUAUUAGCAUAAACUUCCACAACUACAUAGGGUAUUGUUUUCUUUUGAGCUGGCAAAGUGACUAUAGAAACAUCAGAUGAUUUCUCUGAAUUGAGAAUUUUAUCCAAAUAAAUGCCACAUACCUUCUAGAUAUAUGCAUAUCUUUCUAUAUUAUGUAAAUGGCUUUACCCAUUUAAAUAAUAAACCAUACAGCAUUUAAGAAUCAUUAUUAUAUGAUUAACAAUGUCAUGUUCCAGGUUUAACAAUUUCAUAGGCCAAAAAAAAUUUCUUCUUAAAAACUAGUUUUAUAAACGCAGAAUAUAUUCCAUGAGUAACUGCUGGUAUUUUUUAAGAAAAUAUAUUGUGCAAUUGUGGCUACCACGUACUGCUGGCAAAGCAUUAUUAUUUAUGUAAAAUGUGAAAAAAAAGGUGUAAAAAUUUUUCAACUGCCUAUGAUCAUGAUGAAAGGUUACUGCCUUCUUACAAAAAUUAUAUUGGCAUCUUCUUAAAAAUAAUUCGAAAAAGGGAUAAACUCCCUAGCC
Molecule: long non-coding RNA, 1194 nt
Filed under: Homo sapiens (human)
Lineage: Eukaryota; Metazoa; Chordata; Mammalia; Primates; Hominidae
Description: non-protein coding lnc-TMEM30B-9:2
Source: RNAcentral